RNAcentral lists this ribosomal RNA (397 nucleotides) under uncultured bacterium. RNAcentral's name for it is "partial 16S ribosomal RNA". It matches the Rfam family "Bacterial small subunit ribosomal RNA", at positions 523 to 918 of the family's 1533-position model. The record is from RNAcentral.
AUACGUAGGUGGCAAGCGUUGUCAGGAAUUAUUGGGCGUAAAGCGCGCGCAGGCGGUCCUUUAAGUCUGAUGUGAAAGCCCACGGCUCAACCGUGGAGGGUCAUUGGAAACUGGGGGACUUGAGUGCAGAAGAGGAAAGUGGAAUUCCAAGUGUAGCGGUGAAAUGCGUAGAGAUUUGGAGGAACACCAGUGGCGAAGGCGACUUUCUGGUCUGUAACUGACGCUGAGGCGCGAAAGCGUGGGGAGCAAACAGGAUUAGAUACCCUGGUAGUCCACGCCGUAAACGAUGAGUGCUAAGUGUUAGGGGGUUUCCGCCCCUUAGUGCUGCAGCUAACGCAUUAAGCACUCCGCCUGGGGAGUACGGUCGCAAGACUGAAACUCAAAGGAAUUGACGGGG